AAUCUCUAUAAUAUGAUCUGUAUUCUGUUGACGACUUGCAAAGAGUAAAAUAACUUGCCUAUACAGGAGACGACUUGUUAAUUGUUAAGGUGUAACAAUAAAAGUCUGACUAUUU
Molecule: long non-coding RNA, 115 nt
Organism: Melitaea cinxia (Glanville fritillary)
Lineage: Eukaryota; Metazoa; Arthropoda; Insecta; Lepidoptera; Nymphalidae
Exons: 2
Source: RefSeq, a predicted model, not a curated record